AGAGAAACAGUACCUCCACCACCACCACCUGAACCAGUAGCCCCUGUUGUUGAAGCACAACCCAGUUCUUCAGGGGGAACUAAGGUGAAGAUGACGGAGUACUUAAAGUUGGAUGCUCCUAAAUUCAAUACGGGAGAUGAUCCCUUUGAGUAUCUUAGUGCAGUCAGAAUGAUAACAAGUGAGUUGGGAGCAGAUGAGAGUAGGGCCAUUGAGAUGGCAGGGUUCACAUUAAAAUGUAAGAAAGCCAGAGAAUGGUUCAAGAACUAUGUGGACCCCAGAAUAGACAGUAUGACAUGGGAAGAGUU
Molecule: long non-coding RNA, 305 nt
Filed under: Manihot esculenta (cassava)
Lineage: Eukaryota; Viridiplantae; Streptophyta; Magnoliopsida; Malpighiales; Euphorbiaceae
Description: long non-coding RNA (MESC_LNC005947)
Source: RNAcentral